This 2332-nucleotide long non-coding RNA is filed under the name Canis lupus familiaris (dog). RNAcentral's name for it is "lncRNA (ENSCAFG00000051996.1)". The record is from RNAcentral. Lineage: Eukaryota; Metazoa; Chordata; Mammalia; Carnivora; Canidae.
GUAACUGGGUGGCAGGCAUUAAGGAGGUUGUUAUAAGCACCAGCUGGGUGUUAUACUAUAUACUGGCAAACUGAAUUUAAAUUUUAAAAAAAUGAAAUGAGUCUUUUGUAGGCUAUAUUCUAUUACUAAUUUUUUUCUUUCAGGCAGUAAUGGGACAAAUUAUAAAGAAAAUAUUCAUUACAUUCAAUACUUUAACUUCAUUCUUGAGAAUUUGUCCUAAGAAAUUAUUUUUAAAAUCACUAAGUUAUAGAUUUUUUUUAAAUGAAAAGGAUAAUAAAUAUGGGUUGUGAUGGGGGAGCAGGGCCAGCUGAGGACAAAGCACAACCCCAGGGCAGCACAUUGACAAGUCCUUGAAACAGGCAGAGGGACCUUCCUCUACGGACUCAACUGCCUCGAGGUUCAUACUUUGCUGAGGACAACAGGCAAUCUGAGCCCGACCCCCAGGAACCUGUAAGUCUACUUUAACAUAUUAUAGAAAUUCCUUUAGAAAGUUCCUUUAUCUCUACCCCCCAAGAUACAUGCUGGCGAUCAUCCCCCAAGCAUAUGGCCCACGGAUACACAUCUGAAGGGUCUCAUGACUCAGGUUUUAUUAGACAGUAAUAAGCUACCUUUCCCAACAGUAGCAGCCCCCUCGGGGUCCUGGAAACCUUGCUUCCAAAAUUCCUUAGAGAGGACGCUAUCCUCACACCCCUCCCUACUCACAGGUAUACAGUCAGCCCCCCCUCACAGGCCCGGGGCAGCCACUCUUCCUGCCCACGGGUCUGGUCCCCACACUUUAAUAAAACCACCAUUUUGCACCAAAGACGUCUCAAGAAUCCUUUCUUGGUCAUUGGCUCUGGACCUCACCUUUAUUCCAAAACUUCAUCAGGCUGGAUUAAGCAAAUUAUGUCAUAUUUGAUGUAACAUUACAUACUUAACAGAAAAACCAUGUGUUCUUAGGCACAACCUAUACAACCUGGUCAUGGAGAGUGUUGCACACAAGAAAUCAGUAAACUAGGACUACAUAAUUGUCAAGAGCUGGGCAGGUUCUAGGAUUUUACCCUACUUAAAAGCUAACAAGUUAGUCUAUUACAUCCUGUUUCAUGGCUGCUGACAGAAGACAUGAGACUUUAGGGCCAGAGACAAAGAGCUUCAUUCUUUACUCACACCAAAAGCAGCAGGUAGAGCUUAUCAUAUCCUCUUGUGCUGGUUGCGCAGGCCACCCAAGUCCUGUGAAGGCAAUGCAAAGGCCCUCCACGGGUGCCUCCACAACCACAGGGCUGCGAUUCAGCAGAGGAACAUUAAGCUUCGGGGUUCACUGCUUUUACAGAAAGCAGAAACAAGCUUGCUCUUCCCUGGGGAGAGAUGUUAGCUCAUCCACUGAUGAGCUAACAGCACAGCCCAGGCAGAGAGCACGCAAGCGUUCUCAGCGUACUUGGCAGGAAUCUGCAGGGAGCUCAGCACCCUCGAUGGAUUGCCGUUCCCAACAACAAAGUACAAGCUAAGCAUAAGACUUGAAGACCGAAACAAGAGAUGAAAAAAAAUGAUUUUGUUGGUGUCGUAAUAUUUUCUUUCGGAUUGUUCUGCGCUCUUGUCAUCUACAUAUCUACAUGUAUUCACGUGCAAGCGCUGGGCAGAGAACCCAGUCCAAUGGCAGUUUUCAGAAAACUGAGGAAGAGAAUUGUCCCCUCCUCCUGCUGUUACCAUCUCUGUUUCUUUCCCUUGUCAGAAUUUCUCCCUGGCCUUCCCACAAAUCAUGGGAAUGCAUAGGGUGCUCUUAGGCCCAGCAGCAUCACUCAUUGGUGAAUAAUGAUCAUUCAUGUCCUCUUUUUCAAUUCUUGUACAUUUUUGCCUUUUUUUUUGUACUUAGGGACACCUCUGUAUGAUAGAUGGGCAUCCUUAUCUUGUUACUAAUCUUAAUGUGAAAGCUUUUAAGGACUCACUUUUAGUAUGAUGAAUAGUUGUUGAAUGUAUCAAAUAUUUGUAUUUAUAUGUUGAGAUAAUCCUGUUUUUAAUUUUUAUCUGUUGAUAUAGUAAAUUUUAGUGAUCGUUUUCCUAAUUUUAAACUAGCCUUGCAUUCCUGGGAAACUUACUUUGGCCAUUAUGUAUUAUCUUUCUUAUCUUUUGAUGAAUUCUGUUCGCUAGUAGUUGGUUUUAAAGUUUUACAUUUGGGACGCCUGGGUGGCUUAGCAGUUUGGCGCCUGCCUUUGGCCCGGGGCGUGAUCCUGGGGUCCCAGAGUUGGGUCCCACAUCAGGUUCCCUUGCAUGGAGUCUGCUUUUGCCUCUGCCUAUGUCUCUCUCUCUCUGUGGUUCUCAUGAAUAGAAUAAAUAAAGUCCUAAAAAAAAAAAAAAA